CCUACGGGAGGCAGCAGUGGGGAAUUUUGGACAAUGGGGGCAACCCUGAUCCAGCCAUGCCGCGUGAGUGAAGAAGGCCUUCGGGUUGUAAAGCUCUUUCGGCAGGAACGAAAUCGCGCACGUGAAUAACGUGCGUGGAUGACGGUACCGGAGUAAGAAGCACCGGCUAACUACGUGCCAGCAGCCGCGGUAAUACGUAGGGUGCGAGCGUUAAUCGGAAUUACUGGGCGUAAAGCGUGCGCAGGCGGUUCGCUAAGUCAGACGUGAAAGCCCCGGGCUUAACCUGGGAACGGCGUUUGAAACUGGCGGGCUCGAGUACGGCAGAGGGGGGUGGAAUUCCACGUGUAGCAGUGAAAUGCGUAGAUAUGUGGAGGAACACCGAUGGCGAAGGCAGCCCCCUGGGCCGAUACUGACGCUCAUGCACGAAAGCGUGGGGAGCAAACAGGAUUAGAUACCCUGGUAGUCCACGACCUAACUAUNUCACUAGUUAGUCGGGAGACAUACUUCGUACGCAGCUACGCGUGAGUAGACCGCCGUGGGAGGUACGGUCGCGAGAGUUAAACUAACUAAUAGUUAAGUUAGUACGGCGUUGAGACGUUGCCGACGGACGACGACGAGGGAGGAGG
This 626-nucleotide ribosomal RNA is filed under the name uncultured bacterium. RNAcentral's name for it is "bacterial SSU rRNA". It matches the Rfam family "Bacterial small subunit ribosomal RNA", at positions 338 to 1533 of the family's 1533-position model. The record is from RNAcentral.